CACAGGCUCACCCUGAAGGGGAGGGAGGGGGCACAGGCUCACCCUGAAGGGGAGGGAGAGGGGACAGGCUCACCCUGAAGGGGAGAUACACGCAGGGCCCAGACCUGAGGGCAGCAGGUGAGGGGCCGCGAAGGGAGCUAGCGACGCAGAGACUCCCUCUGAGGAGAAGGCGAAGACCUGCGUCCUGUGGCUGCAGUGGGUUGAUCAGUGCCCCGCCCCCCGGGAACUGGAGCUGUCUGUCACUAGCCUGCACGUCUCAGACCCUGAAAACUCCAUUCCCAGUCCUUAGUGAUCCUCUCCUGGUGAUGCCAGGUCCGUUACCGGGCACCUUCCUGGGGUGAGAGUACGCUGCUCCAGCCCCUCCAGGGUUUCAGAUACAGUCAGAAGUCAAGAAGCAGCGAAAUUCUGCAGCAGUAGGGGGAGAAUUGUUUUUUUCUAAGGGAAAUGAAUAUAGUUUUCAGGACGUAGACAAGGGUCUUUGGCUGGCGUUGGUAACUCGUGUGGUUCGUUCCCCGGCCCUCUCCCUUGUCUGUGUACUUUCCUUCAGGAAGCAGCGUUGCCAAGCCCUGUGCUGGGGAGCUGAUCCCGACCCUGAAGGAGCCCAGACCACGGAGAGAGAGAAGUAGCCACGAACGGAACUGAAGACAGUUCAUAACGCUGUGAUAGAGGACGACGGACACCUUGCUGUGGGGCCACUUAAAAUGUAUUCUUUAAAAAUAUCAGUCAACAUUUCACUUUGCUCAAAACCCUGUAAAGGAUUUCCGUUUCACUCAGUGAGAGCCAAAGUUCUUCCAAUGGAAAAGUCGCUACACGGUCUGGCUUCCUCCUCCUCCUGUUAUGGAACCGAAGUGAGUUCUCUCCUGUUUUUUUUACCUAGGCUUCUGGGAGAGGAGACAUCUGUACACGACCUGGGACGGGAAUCGAGACCCAGGAUGGGAAGGGGGUUGGAGCAGCUCUCAUAACUUACAGGAAUUCUUGGCCACGCCUCUGCAGCCCAAAGACUCUGUUUGCUCUCCAGUUCCUGCCUCCAGGCCGCAGCACCGGCCUUGCCCGCACUGGGGUGCCCUCCAUCCCUCCUGCGCCCUCACGGCCCCAUUACAAUGCAGGUCGAUACUGCCACCCCCGCCGAAGGUUUCCAAGCCAGCUCACCCACAGCCCAGAUUUAUCCUCUCUGUGGACACACACCUCCUUCCAUUCUUCACUUUUCUGAUUAGACCUCUUACUGGUUUUGCAUGCUUCUUUGACUCAGUUAUCUCUGUUUAAAAUCUGUUUUUUUAUUCCUCAGUGACAUCAACCCCAAACACUCUACAUUCUACCAUAUGCUUUGCUGUGUGGUGUAGGGAAUAGAAAGGUGGGAGAUGUUCUGGGCUCACAAUCUAGAAGGUGAGACAGACCCAGGAGGCAGGCUGGGCCCACGAGAAGCCGUAGACUGACAAGCGGCAUGCAUGGGGAUGCGAGGAGACACAUUCUCAGGGGGCAAUGCUCUGGUGGCUCCUGCGGCCUGGCUGGCCUCUCCUGCUCUCUCGGGCGCUCACAGGGGUCGUUUCCACGGGGUUCUUCUACAGGGCUUUAACGCCAGCAGCCACACCAUUGUGGUGUUAAGACCAUGGCGGGACAUUGCCAAUGAAACGUCCGCAAAACGGGGAGGAAGUUCAUGGAGGAGGCAGGGGCAGGGAGAAAAGUGGGAAGGCCAUUUAGCAGAAAAGCAAAAAUAUCUGUCAUUGAGAAUUUUGGAAUGUUUGUGCUGGAGGCAGAGAGGAGGAAAAUGUAAAAAGUCUGAAAAAAAAAAAAAAGCCGCCGUCUGUCUGGGGCACCAGCACGCAGUCAUUCGAGACCACAGAGUGACACCUAGUGGACACCUGGGAAGAUGCUUCCUGCAGGGGAGCUCGGCGCCGCCCGCCCAAGUGGUUUCGUAGAGCUGGGGAUGCCGAGCGCAGGAAGGACCCGGGCCCGGUGCUCGCCGCUCGGAGCUGCCCCCGAUCCGCCCUGGGAGGACGCCCGGGGAGAGUGCUGUGCCGGGACUCCGGAGUCCAGUCCUGGCCCAGAUGCCAGCUGGGAGACCUCGCACGGGAAACUGUGUCUGUCGGGAAGCGGGGAGAGGCUCUUCCCUCGGCUCCACCGCUCUGGAUUCCCCCCUCUGCCAGCCCCCAGCCCCGCUCCGCACAGCCCCUGCCUCCGCUGUUCUGCCCGCCCUCCUUGGAGGACUGCGGUGAGCUCGGAG
Molecule: long non-coding RNA, 2221 nt
Organism: Equus asinus (donkey)
Lineage: Eukaryota; Metazoa; Chordata; Mammalia; Perissodactyla; Equidae
Source: Ensembl